UUGAACGCUGGCGGAAUGCUUUACACAUGCAAGUCGAGCGGCAGCGCGGGGGCAACCCUGGCGGCGAGCGGCGAACGGGUGAGUAACAUAUCGGAACGUACCCUGUCGUGGGGGAUAACACAGCGAAAGCUGUGCUAAUACCGCAUACGACCUGAGGGUGAAAGCGGGGGAUCGCAAGACCUCGCGCGAUAGGAGCGGCCGAUAUCGGAUUAGCUUGUUGGUGAGGUAAAGGCUCACCAAGGCGACGAUCCGUAGCUGGUCUGAGAGGACGACCAGCCACACUGGAACUGAGACACGGUCCAGACUCCUACGGGAGGCAGCAGUGGGGAAUUUUAGACAAUGGGGGCAACCCUGAUCCAGCCAUGCCGCGUGAGUGAAGAAGGCCUUCGGGUGGUAAAGCUCUUUCAGACGGAAAGAAACGGUCACGAUUAAUACUCGUGACUAAUGACGGUACCGUCAGAAGAAGCACCGGCUAACUACGU
This 482-nucleotide ribosomal RNA is filed under the name uncultured bacterium. RNAcentral's name for it is "bacterial SSU rRNA". It matches the Rfam family "Bacterial small subunit ribosomal RNA", at positions 29 to 506 of the family's 1533-position model. The record is from RNAcentral.